RNAcentral lists this ribosomal RNA (495 nucleotides) under Blastocystis sp. RNAcentral's name for it is "partial small subunit ribosomal RNA". It matches the Rfam family "Eukaryotic small subunit ribosomal RNA", at positions 460 to 953 of the family's 1831-position model. The record is from RNAcentral. Lineage: Eukaryota; Bigyra; Opalinata; Blastocystidae.
GGAGGUAGUGACAAUAAAUCUCAAUACGAAGCCUUUGGUUUUGUAAUUGAAUUGAGAACAAUGUACAAUCGUUAUCGAUAAACAAUUGGAGGGCAAGUCUGGUGCCAGCAGCCGCGGUAAUUCCAGCUCCAAUAGCGUAUAUUAACGUUGUUGCAGUUAAAAAGCUCGUAGUUGAAGUUUAGGUGGUUUGUUGAGGGUGUUAGUAUUCGUACUCUCUGCCCUGAGCGAGUCAUCGACUUCCAGGUAAGCUGAGUAAUCCCUUCGGGGACUAUUGAGCUAGACUGGUCUUUUACUGUGAGAAAAUUAGAGUGUUUAAAGCAGACUUUUUUUUUUCUAGUUUGAAUAGAUUAGCAUGGAAUAAUAAGAUUGGCUUUCAUAGUCGAUUUUUUGGUUUGUUUAUGAAAGCAAGAUUAAUAGGGACAGUUGGGGGUAUUCAUAUUCAAUAGCUAGAGGUGAAAUUCUAUGAUUUAUGGAAGAUGAACAAGUGCGAAAGCA